This is a non-coding RNA of Anas platyrhynchos (mallard), 1147 nucleotides long. NCBI's taxonomy places the organism in Eukaryota, Metazoa, Chordata, Aves, Anseriformes, Anatidae. The record is from RefSeq and is a predicted model, not a curated record.
UUGCAUUUGAGACAGAAGAUUUGCAUUUGAGGCAGCAGUACACGCUCCUUGCCCUCAGAAGGGGAGCAGAAGGCAGCUCCAGCAGGGACACGUGAAUUCCAGGAGGGUUCUCCCUCAACAUACAGUGACCUCCCUCCAGUCUGCCACGCACCUGAAGACUCGCUGCUGGGCUGCACUGUGCAGAAGUCAAGGCUCAUGGCUAUGCCUGGGUGACAGAUAGGUCACAUUCUGCUGGAGAACUAAAACUAAGCCAGCCCACUGGACAACACAAUCAGCAGCAAGGUAGAAGGCCUUAGGUGUAUUUUUUACUCUGGUGAUGCCGAAGUGGAAACUUUUGGAUGGAACACAUACUUUAGCAGGAUUCACAGAAGACUAAAGGCUAGGACUUCAAUCUUUCAAGAUGCCAGAGGCAUGGCACCCUUCUCCCAGAUGAAGACUUCACUGAAAAUAUUCCACUGAGGUAAAACAUUGGAGGCAGUAACUCAAACUACAGCAUUGCCAGGAAAGAGUGGAGAUGUCUUCCCCCACCAUACUUACAGGAAGAGGAGCCCUGAAGGUCUAGUUUGAAAAAAAAAACUAGCUACAGCACGAGUCCACCCCAUUUGUAACGGGUGGAAUAAAACCUGUCCUGAAGCCACUGCUGUGCAUCUACCUGGCCUGAUCGCCUACACCCAUCUCACCACAGCCGCUCGAGCAAGUCUAGUCUCCACAUCCUCCGGACAUAACUAAGACACCAGAAACCCUAGAGCUACAUCAAGCAAAAGAAAACAAGCUCACUAGUGUAUAACCACACCUCACUGCCCAAAGGAUAUGAAUUUUGCUUACUGAUGAGUUACCGCGUACCAACACCCACUGCUCCGUCGUUAAUGAGCUGAAGACAUCAACACAGCUUUUCAUUAAGUCGGACUACUUUCAAGCCUCCCGAAUGCCUUCCAAAAACAAAGGGAUGACCGACUCCUCCUCCCGUGCUUGUUCAUAUUUGCUCAGUUUACUGUCCAACACUAUGGCAAGGCAAGUAUCAACAGCUUGGCUGAAGAUGUACAGUUUGGCUGAUGAGAGAUUUAAGAGGUCUUAAGACGUAUGAGGUUCAAACCUCUGAGGAUCUACUGAAGAUCUAGAAAUUAAGGACAGUCAAACCUUUAGUCGA